UCGGAUCAGGUAGGGAUACCCGCUGAACUUAAGCAUAUCAAUAAGCGGAGGAAAAGAAACUAACAAGGAUUCCCCUAGUAACGGCGAGUGAAGCGGGAAGAGCUCAAAUUUGUAAUCUGGCGCUUUCAGCGUCCGAGUUGUAAUCUCUAGAAAUGUUUUCCGCGUUGGACCGCACACAAGUCUGUUGGAAUACAGCGGCACAGUGGUGAGACCCCCGUUCAUGG
This 224-nucleotide ribosomal RNA is filed under the name Chaetoceros curvisetus. Its description in RNAcentral is "partial Eukaryotic large subunit ribosomal RNA". It matches the Rfam family "Eukaryotic large subunit ribosomal RNA", at positions 1 to 229 of the family's 3401-position model. The record is from RNAcentral. Lineage: Eukaryota; Bacillariophyta; Thalassiosirophyceae; Chaetocerotales; Chaetocerotaceae.